Molecule: microRNA precursor, 207 nt
Filed under: Oryza glumipatula
Lineage: Eukaryota; Viridiplantae; Streptophyta; Magnoliopsida; Poales; Poaceae
Description: MIR812 microRNA precursor family
Rfam family: MIR812 microRNA precursor family
Source: Rfam by way of RNAcentral
AAAAAGACAAACCCUGGGUUUCCGUGUCCAACGUUUGACCGUCCGUCUUAUUUGAAAAAAUUAUAAAAAAAAUUAAAAGGAUAAGUCACGCAUAAAGUAUUAAUCAUGUUUUAUCAUCUAACAACAAUGAAAAUACUAAUUAUAAAAAAAUUUCAUAUAAGACGGACAGUCAAAUGUUGGACACGUAAACCCAUGGUUUUUUUUUUU